RNAcentral lists this ribosomal RNA (950 nucleotides) under uncultured archaeon. Its description in RNAcentral is "bacterial SSU rRNA". It matches the Rfam family "Archaeal small subunit ribosomal RNA", at positions 1 to 959 of the family's 1478-position model. The record is from RNAcentral.
UUCCGGUUGAUCCCGCCGGAAGCCACUGCUAUUGGGAUCCGACUAAGCCAUGCGAGUCGAGAGGGUUCGGCCCUCGGCAGACUGCUCAGUAACACGUGGAUAACCUAACCUUAGGUGGAAGAUAACCUCGGGAAACUGAGAAUAAUAUUCCAUAGAUCUAGGAUGCUGGAAUGCAUCUAGAUUGAAAGUUCCGACGCCUAAGGAUGGGUCUGCGGACUAUCAGGUUGUAGUCAGGGUAAAGACCUGACUAGCCUACGACGGAUAUGGGUUGUGAGAGCAAUAGCCCAGAGACGAUAUCUGAGACACGAUAUCGGGCCCUACGGGGCGCAGCAGGCGCGAAAUCUUCACAAUGUGCGAAAGCACGAUGAGGGGAUCCUAAGUGCUGGCACGUAAGUGUCAGCUGUUUCUUAGUCUAAAAAACUGAGAGAGUAAGGGCUGGGUAAGACGGGUGCCAGCCGCCGCGGUAAUACCUGCAGCUCAAAUGGUGGCCGCUAUUAUUGGGCCUAAAACGUCCGUAGCCUGUUUAGUAAAUGCUUGGGUAAAUUGUGUAGCUUAACUAUACGAAUACCGGGUAGACUGCUAAACUUGGGACCGGGAGAGGCUAGAGGUACUCCUGGGGUAGAGGUGAAAUUCUGUAAUCCUAGGGGGACCACCAGUGGCGAAGGCGUCUAGCUAGAACGGGUCUGACGGUGAGGGACGAAGCCCUGGGGCGCAAACCGGAUUAGAUACCCGGGUAGUCCAGGGUGUAAACGCUGCUUGCUUGAUGUUAGUUGGGCUCCGAGCCCAACUAGUGUCGGAGAGAAGUUGUUAAGCAAGCUGCCUGGGAAGUACGGUCGCAAGACUGAAACUUAAAGGAAUUGGCGGGGGAGCACAGCAACGGGUGGAGCGUGCGGUUUAAUUGGAUUCAACGCCGGAAAUCACUAGUGCGGCCGCCUGCAGGUCGACCAUAU